CCUGGUCCUGAAGGUGGGAGAUGGAGUGCGGAGGAGCUGGGUCCUGCUGAAAGAGAAAACCAUUCAUUUUAAUCCUCAGAGAUGUCCAGAGACCAGUGUUUCUCGAGCUCGGUAGAGCUUCUUGAGCUCGCGGGUGGGUGUGCCAGCCCAAGAGCAGAUGGCAGUGACUGUCUUGCAAAAGAAACUUCUGCUUUCCAUUUGUAAGAUGAGUUCACUGAGAAUCUCUCUGGUUUCUUGCUAAGUGACCUGAGCCGGUGCUUCACCGUGAAACCCUUUGUCUUGAGUCUCGAAUCGGAAAGCAUCCUGGCUCAGGAGGGACUUGCAACUCCUAGCUCUGCGUGAAACUGCCCAGACUUGGACUGCUGUGGCUGAGACCAGCGUCCAAAUGCUUUGCCAACUGUCAGUGCUGGGGGCUGUAACUGCUCCCUCAGGGAAGCCUGUUCUGAUAUCUCAUCCCUCUUUCUCCCAAGUUUUUCUUCAUCUGCAACCUCUGCCUCCUCUACUCCAACUUUCAGGCCGUUCCCAUCUCAUCCCAGGCUAGCUGGGGGAAAAGCUGACCCCCUCCUUGCUACAGCCUCCUUUUGGCUAGUUGGAGGGAGUUUGGGGCCUUUCUUGAAUGCUGCUGGAGAGCUUUAUUUCUUCUUUAAUAGAUAGUGGAGGGCCCAGAACUGCAUGCGAUGCUCACGGUUGAGGCCUUACCUCUGUGGUGCAGAGGGGGAUGAUCCCUUCCUUUGCUUGGCUGGGAGUGGUGGGCCUGAUGUGCCCCAGGCUGUGGCCAGCCCUCCUAAUGAUUUAACUUGCUGUCAGCUGUGGCACCCAGAUUCCUUUCCCCAGGGCAGCUCUCUGGCCUCAUCCCCUGGCUGUAGCUGGGGUUGGCCCCUCUCAGGUGCAGAAUCAGGUGCUGGCUGCAGUCUAACUUCACUUGGCUGGCAAUUGUAUGGCCUGCUGCUGGGUAGAGGUAACUCAGCAAAGCCCUUCUAUCCCUGGGGAGUACAUAGCUCCUCCUACUGUACUGUAAUCAGCAAACAUACUUAAUACACAUUUGACUCCUUGUGUCCUGAUUGCUUACAGCAAUACUGAAGAGAACUGCCCCCACAAGAAGCCCCUGGAAUCUGACUGGCGCCUGUCUCACAGCUUCUCCUGAUCUCAUUUAUUCUAACAAAUGCUUGGAGCCUCUUUUGUAUGGGGCAAGUCAGUGCUUAGCCCUCUGUUUGUUUUAAGAGGUACAAGUAGGAAGGGCUGUUUCCUGGCACAGGAUUUAGGUUCUGGAUCCCCUCACAUGACAAGAAUUUCCCUUACCUCCUCAAAGAGGCAAUACAUGCUUGAAACUGGACCACAGGCAGAGAUGUCGCACUUUUGUAAUAUGGGCGUUUUCUCGCAUUCCCACAUGGUGGGAGGAUGCCAAUUAGUGCCAAUAAACUUGUAGGAACUGUUAAACAGAGGAUACAGCAAUUAUUGACUCAGGAGGUGUUAGACAGUUGAUGUUAAUAGAAACAUCCCUCUAGUAGAUGAAUCGAGUACCAUCUGUAAUAAUCUGUAAUGUAUCGGAUUAUUGUAUCUGUAUAUUUAAGGUCUGUAAUAAAUCACUAAUAAAUACAUAGCUACAAAUAAACACUUUCUUCCUAAAGC
Non-coding RNA from Meleagris gallopavo (turkey), 1629 nucleotides. The record is from RefSeq and is a predicted model, not a curated record. Lineage: Eukaryota; Metazoa; Chordata; Aves; Galliformes; Phasianidae.